This 301-nucleotide ribosomal RNA is filed under the name uncultured bacterium. Its description in RNAcentral is "partial 16S ribosomal RNA". It matches the Rfam family "Bacterial small subunit ribosomal RNA", at positions 509 to 809 of the family's 1533-position model. The record is from RNAcentral.
CAGUCGCCGCGGGAAUACGAAGGGGGCUAGCGUUGCUCGGAAUCACUGGGCGUAAAGGGCGCGUAGGCGGACUGAUAAGUCAGGGGUGAAAUCCCAAGGCUCAACCUUGGAACUGCCUUUGAUACUGUUUGUCUUGAGUUCGAGAGAGGUAAGUGGAACUGCGAGCGUAGAGGUGAAAUUCGUAGAUAUUCGCAAGAACACCAGUGGCGAAGGCGGCUUACUGGCUCGAAACUGACACUGAAGCGCGAAAGCGUGGGGAGCAAACAGGAUUAGAUACCCCCGUAGUCCCUGUCUCUUAUAU